This 247-nucleotide transfer RNA is filed under the name Pneumocystis jirovecii. RNAcentral's name for it is "tRNA-Pseudo(TAT)". The record is from RNAcentral. Lineage: Eukaryota; Fungi; Ascomycota; Pneumocystomycetes; Pneumocystales; Pneumocystaceae.
UUGAAUAUUAAUAAGUGAAAAUUAUUUUAUUUAUACUAUAAACUUUUAACACUUAUAUAAAAGCUAAAUCUUUAAAAAAUAUGAUCAUAAUUAUAAAACAUUUAAACUAACAACAAAUUUUUAAUAUCAUUCUUAAAUUCAAUAAUAUUAAAUAAGUUUUUAUAAUUAUAUAUAUAUAUUAAACAUUUUAAUUUUUUAUCUUUGAAGUUUUAUUAAAAAUUAUAUUUUAGUUUUCAAAAUAUUUAAU